Molecule: ribosomal RNA, 254 nt
Filed under: uncultured bacterium
Lineage: Bacteria
Description: partial 16S ribosomal RNA
Rfam family: Bacterial small subunit ribosomal RNA
Source: RNAcentral
UACGGAGGGUGCAAGCGUUAUCCGGAAUCACUGGGUUUAAAGGGUGCGUAGGCUGUUAGAUAAGUCAGUUGUGAAAUUCUCCGGCUUAACCGGGUGAACUGCGAUUGAUACUGUUUAACUUGAAUGAGGUUGAGGUAGGCGGAAUGUGGCAUGUAGCGGUGAAAUGCUUAGAUAUGCCAUAGAACACCGAUUGCGAAGGCAGCUUGCUGGGCCUUCAUUGACGCUGAGGCACGAAAGCGUGGGGAGCAAACAGG